This 447-nucleotide ribosomal RNA is filed under the name uncultured bacterium. RNAcentral describes it as "bacterial SSU rRNA". It matches the Rfam family "Bacterial small subunit ribosomal RNA", at positions 355 to 825 of the family's 1533-position model. The record is from RNAcentral.
UGGGGAAUUUUGGACAAUGGGGGCAACCCUGACCCAGCAACGCCGCGUGAAGGAUGAAGUAUUUCGGUAUGUAAACUUCGAAAGAAUAGGAAGAAUAAAUGACGGUACUAUUUAUAAGGUCCGGCUAACUACGUGCCAGCAGCCGCGGUAAUACGUAGGGACCAAGCGUUGUUCGGAUUUACUGGGCGUAAAGGGCGCGUAGGCGGCAUGACAAGUCACUUGUGAAAUCUCUGGGCUUAACCCAGAACGGCCAAGUGAUACUGUCGCGCUAGAGUGCAGAAGGGGCAAUCGGAAUUCUUGGUGUAGCGGUGAAAUGCGUAGAUAUCAAGAGGAACACCUGAGGUGAAGACGGGUUGCUGGGCUGACACUGACGCUGAGGCGCGAAAGCCAGGGGAGCAAACGGGAUUAGAUACCCCAGUAGUCCCUGAGCGGGCUGGCAAGGCGCAU